RNAcentral lists this ribosomal RNA (484 nucleotides) under uncultured bacterium. RNAcentral describes it as "partial 16S ribosomal RNA". It matches the Rfam family "Bacterial small subunit ribosomal RNA", at positions 28 to 523 of the family's 1533-position model. The record is from RNAcentral.
GAUGAACGCUGGCGGCGUGCUUAACACAUGCAAGUCGAACGGUGAAGCAGGAGCUUGCUCUUGUGGAUCAGUGGCGAACGGGUGAGUAACACGUGAGCAACCUGCCCCUGACUCUGGGAUAAGCGCUGGAAACGGCGUCUAAUACUGGAUAUGUGAUGUGACCGCAUGGUCUGCAUCUGGAAAGAAUUUCGGUUGGGGAUGGGCUCGCGGCCUACCAGCUUGUUGGUGAGGUAAUGGCUCACCAAGGCGUCGACGGGUAGCCGGCCUGAGAGGGGGGACGGCCACACGGGGACUGAGACACGGCCCAGACUCCUACGGGAGGCAGCAGGGGGGAAUAUUGCCCAAUGGGCGGAAGCCUGAUGCAGCAACGCCGCGUGGGGGAUGACGGCCUUCGGGUUGUAAACCUCUUUUAGCAGGGAAGAAGCGAAAGUGACGGUACCUGCAGAAAAAGCACCGGCUAACUACGUGCCAGCCGCCGCCGUAA